GUGAGGAAUUUUGCGCAAUGGGGGAAACCCUGACGCAGCAACGCCGCGUGAGUGAAGAAGGCCCUCGGGUCGUAAAGCUCUGUCAAGUGGGAAAAAAGCUUGUCAUUGAAUAGGUGAUGAGUCUGAUGGUACCACUAAAGGAAGCACCGGCUAACUCCGUGCCAGCAGCCGCGGUAAUACGGAGGGUGCAAGCGUUGUUCGGAAUUAUUGGGCGUAAAGAGCGUGUAGGCGGUUAGGUAAGUCAGAUGUGAAAGCCCUGGGCUCAACCCAGGAAGUGCAUUUGAAACUGCCGUUCUUGAGUAUGGGAGGGGAGAGUGGAAUUCCCAGUGUAGAGGUGAAAUUCGUAGAUAUUGGGAGGAACACCCGUGGCGAAGGCGACUCUCUGGACCAAUACUGACGCUGAGACGCGAAAGCGUGGGGAGCAAACAGGAUUAGAUACCCGUGUAGUCC
Molecule: ribosomal RNA, 450 nt
Filed under: uncultured bacterium
Lineage: Bacteria
Description: bacterial SSU rRNA
Rfam family: Bacterial small subunit ribosomal RNA
Source: RNAcentral